This 461-nucleotide ribosomal RNA is filed under the name uncultured bacterium. RNAcentral's name for it is "bacterial SSU rRNA". It matches the Rfam family "Bacterial small subunit ribosomal RNA", at positions 28 to 507 of the family's 1533-position model. The record is from RNAcentral.
GAUGAACGCUGGCGGCGUGCCUAACACAUGCAAGUCGAACGGGAACCCUUGGAUUCGUCUGAGGGGGAGAGUGGCGAACGGGUGAGUAACACGUAGGUGACCUGCCCCGAAGAGGGGAAUAACCACUGGAAACGGUGGCUAAUACCCCAUGUGCUCGGUGGUUCGUUCCAUCGAGGAAAGCUCCGGCGCUUUGGGAGGGGCCUGCGGCCCAUCAGGUAGUUGGUAGGGUAAUGGCCUACCAAGCCGAUGACGGGUAGGGGGCGUGAGAGCGUGAUCCCCCACACUGGCACUGAGACACGGGCCAGACUCCUACGGGAGGCAGCAGUGAGGAAUAUUGCCCAAUGGACGCAAGUCUGAGGCAGCAACGCCGCGUGGGCGAUGAAGGCCUUCGGGUUGUAAAGCCCUUUUCUGGGGGACGAGAAAGGACGGUACCUCAGGAAUAAGUCACGGCUAACUACGUG